UUUUUUUUUUCACCCUGACAGAGCCUCGCUUCCAGGCUGGAGUGCAGUUGUGUGAUCUUGGCUUACUGCAGCCUCCACCUCCUGGGCUCAAGUGAUCCUCCUGCCUCGGUCUCCCAAAGUGCUGGGAUUAAAGGCAUGAGCUACUACAUCCAGCCAAAAGCUACAUUUUCAAGACUAGAUAAAAAGGCUACAAGGUUCAUCUGCAAGUUUCUUCAAAUGGUUGCAAUGCUUACUGCAACCUCCAUCUCCUAGGCUCCAGUGAUCCUCCUGCCUCAGCCUCCCAAAGUGCUGGGAUUACAAGCAUGAGCAGUAGCUCAUUUUUGUCCAAAAGCUGCAUUUCCAAGACCAGAUUUAACCAAACUGCAAAGUCUGAGGGCAUGGUUCCUAAAAUUUCCCUCAUUCCUGACACCAACAGCAAGUUUUAGAGGUUUCCAAAGCACCCCAAGUUUCAAUCAUUUGCUGGAAGAACUCAUAGAAGUCAUUGAAAACUGCUAUACACAUGGUUACUGUUUACUGCAGGGAAAGGAUACAAAUCAGAACCAGCACAGAGGGCAGGGCUAGGAGGGUCUGUGAAGCCUCUGUUGUCCUCAGGUGCAUUACUCUCCCAGCAUCCACGUGUGACAAUACCAUGAAGCACUGCCAACCUAGGAACCUCACCCAAGCCUUGGUGUCCAGAGUGUUUCCUGGAACUGCAUUGUGCAGCGAUAAUUGACUGAUCUGUUGGAGACUGGUUGGAACUCUGUCUUCACCUCUCCCUUUCCCAGAAUCUGGGGCUGACAGCACAUUCCUGGGAGGGCCCACCAUGAGCCAGCUGGUAGCAUAAACUUCAGGUAUAGUCUGAGGGGCCCACCAUGAAUAGCAAAGACCCUCCUGUCACAUGGUCUUCAGGACUACUUGCCAGGAGCCAGGACAAAGGCUAGACCUCUUCUUUGGGCUAGGCCAAAUUCUUUACCACACAGAAAUCAUAUUUAGGAUUCAAAUGUGCCAUUUUUAUUUGCUUUCUGCAUGUUUCUUAUGUUUCCUUUAUCCUGUUUCGUUUCACUUGUCAUGGAUUACUUAAACAGUUUUUAGCAUUUCAUUUUGAAUUAUUUAUACUUUUGGGUGCAUUGCUUUGUAUCGUUUUCUAAGUGGCUGCUCUAGGAUUGAUUAUAAUAUACACAUGUAACUUAUCACAGCCUGCUGGCAUCAAUGUUUCACCACUUCAUGAGAAAUAUCAAAAGCUUACUUUUAUUUACUUCCCCUUUUCCUCCCCCACUUAAACAUGUAAUUAUCAUAAAUAUUUCCUGUUCAGAUGUAGAGCACCGCAGCAGAUGAUGUUAAUAUUUUUUGCUUCAACCAUAAAAUACGAUUUAAGAAACUCAUCAUAGUCUAUUAUACUUACCAUAUGAUUACCCCUUCUGUUGUUGCUAUUUCUGAUUUCCUUAUUUCCUUUUUAUUAGUAGAGCUUCCUUCAGCCAUUUAUUAAGGGUAGGUUUUCUGGUAACAAAUUAUUCUAGUUGUCCUUCCUCUUAGGAUAUCUUUAUUUCCUUCUCAUCCCUGAAGGAUACAUUCACUGAAUAGGGUUCUGGGCAGAGAGUUUUUCUCAGCACCUGGCGAUGGUGUGUCGCCCCCUCUGCCUCAUGGUUUUAGAGAAGCCCACCAUCCUCAGAACCAGUGUCCCUUAAUGCAUCGUUUUUCUCUGGUGGUUUAAAAGAUUUUUUUCUUCAUCUUUCCUUUCCUGAAGUUCCAUUAUGAUGUGUUUAUCCUAUUUGGGGUUUGCUCAGAUUCUUGAAUCUGCAGGUUUACUUCUUUCACCAAAUUUGGGACGUCUUCAACCACUGUGCCUUUGAAUACUUUUUCACCACACAUUCCUUCCUCUCCUCCUGGGACUCUGGUGACAGGAACGCUGGGCCUUUUGUCACUGUCCCACCCAUCCCCGAGGAGGCGUUCAUUUCUCAGCCUCCUAUCUCUCCAUCGUUCCUAUGGGCCAGCUCUAUUAAUUUUCCUUGAAUCAACAGACUCUGUUCUCUGUCGUCUCCACUCUGCUAUUGUACCCAACUGCACAUUUUUUCAUUUAGUUAUUGUAUUUUUCAGUUGUAUGAUUUUCAUUUUGUUCUUGUUUCAAGAAAAUUCGCCGUUGUUUUCUGAAGCACUUUUAUGAUGGCUGCUUUAAAGUUCUAACAUCUGAUUUAUCUUGGUUAAUCUUAUUUUGCUAUUUAAGUUGUUUUUUGUUUUGCUCUGUUAUGUUUUUGAGACAGAGUCUUACUCUGAUGCUCAGACUGGUGUGCAGUAGCAUGAUCUUGGCUCACUGCAGCCUCAAACUGCCGGGCUCAAGCGGUCUUCCUGCUUCAGCCUGCUAAGUAGCUGGCACCACACGUGUGUGCCACCACAGGUGUGUGCCACCACAGCUGGCUAAUUUUUAAAUUGUUUGUAGAGACAGGGUCAUGCUGUGUUGCCCAGGCAGAUCUCAAACUCCUGGGCUCAAGCCAUCCUCCUGAUUGACCUUCCAAAGUGCUGGGAUUACAGGUGGGAGCCCCCUCACCAGGCUUCAAGUUGCUUUUUAUGUUUCCUGAUAUGACAAAUAAUUUCAAAUAUGUUCUGGAGAUUUCGGUUAUUAUGUAAGGAAACUUUUUAUCCUAUUUGAACAUUCCAGUUCAGUCCAUGGUACCCUUAUUUGGUUUACCAUAUAGGCCCCAGCCUGCUUUAGGGGAAAUGUAGAGUCAAUGACAAUUUAGUUUUCAAAGCCCUCCCAGUGCUAUUCUGGUCUCGUUUGUUCUUCUGGAUCUGCUGGGGCUCUGGUUCAAUCCCUGCGCAUGUUGCUGGGGUUGCCCUGUGCGGUGGGGGUAGGUUAAGGAAACGCCGGGUUCUGGGUGUGGUCUCUGCGCUGUGGUCAGCAGAGCCUUUGUGGCCUGGGUGUGAUGCUGAGGGCCAGGCCUGAGCGGAGCUGCUAUGACAUGGAUCAGUAGGAAUCUCCUCACUGGGUCUUCAGUGAGAUGCCCUUCUCAGUCCUUUCACCAGAGAAAAUAGGCUUGUUUUCUUUUCUUUUUUCCCCCUGCAGGUUUUGGCAGUUACAGGUUGCAGGGUUCUCUGGGCCCAUCCAGGAGAUGAGAGAGAAAAAGAAAACUCAAGGCCUGGUACAGCAUCACCCCCAAAGUCCCGAGGUUCCUGGACAGCCUUUCUUCCUCUCCACUUCCUAGAGUCCUCUUAUGUCUGUUAAAUUUUUUCCAGGGUGUCUAGUUGUAUUUAGAGGGCAGAUGCUACCUCCUCAUAGAAUGCCGGGGUCCACUCUCCAGGCAUUUGGAAUGAGUUGCCACGAGGUCCUCGGGAGGGUGUGACAGUUCACAUGCCCACCAGCAGCGUUUCCACGUCUCCAUUUCCUCUGCCCCUGACAGCAUCUAAUGUUAUGAUUUUUGUUUGUAAAUUUGGCUUUUGGUUCCUUUAUGAGGGGAUUAAUUAAUACAGGCUGCUGGCUCCUUCCCACGAAUCCAAACCUUGGAGAUGCCAUCAAAGGGAUGACAGUUGAUGGAGCCCAGAACCUAAGAGGACCCCUGAGAGCCUUGCGGAGGCUGGGCAAACGUGGUGGAGUCUGGGACAGGAGGGGAACCACAGUCUGAGUGGAGGAGGCCACACAGCACAACCCGGGCCAGACUGCAGCUCUCUGCUCCGGGGCCCACCUGGGGCUGUCAUCUGUCGGCCCUGCUUUCCUGUAGAAGAUCCCAUCUGUACCAGCCCCAGGAAUCUAGGCAAGGCCAGAGCACCUCAGGAGCCUCCUGGACUGAAGGCCACAACACCUGGGCAGGCUGGCUGGUCGCCCCUGGGCAGCCUUCCUCCCCAGCCCAAGGACAGCCAAUUACAGCACAGGGCAGCCCUGGACAGACAGCACCAGCUAGGAGGACAGGGGCAUUCCCUGCAGACCAGAGCAGCCCCCAGGGAUGAGCAAAGAGGGCCCCAGUCAUCCUGCCAGAGGCUCUGCCCCGAGGAGCCCCUGCCUGCCUCCCUGAAACCCACCAGGAAGGUGUCAACUGGGGCCUAAGACGAAGGCAGCUGACCAUACCCACGGAACAGAGAGCGGCCUGAGGAAAUGAGACAGCGAGGGGAGUGAACUCCGGGAGGGAAAAACCCCAAGGUUUUUCCUUGGAGGAGGGAGCAGAUGAGCGGAUAAGACCGGUAAAUCCGUCACAUACCCUCAGGACGCAGGGAGAGCGCGGCUGGAAUCGGCAGUUAUGCAGAAGAUGCAGCCGGGAAUACUGGACUGGAACACGCGGGCGCUUAAGUGAUGAACUUGGUGGGAAGGUUGGAGACCAGAAAAUGAACGAGUGAGACAGGUCAGGCUCUGAGCUCUUCUAGAAGGAUCUGAAGGUGUGAGGAGGCAGAGGUGAGGGAGGAAAAAUAUUCAGUGCUUGGAAGAGGAAAAAUGAAUAGAUAAGAGGAAAUAUCUGAAAAAUGAUUAGGAAAUUUCCCCAAUUAAGAAAAGAUGCACAUCCUCAAACUGAAAGGGCCUGCAGAGCGUUAAUUACAUUUUAAAGUUAAAAUCUUAUGUGUAAUUUCAAAGAAAAGCAUCUACAUUUUGAGUCAAAAUUGCUAAAAACUUCCAAAGAGAAAAAGCAGGUAACCCGCACAGGAACGGGAGUGGUGCUGACAUUAGAAUCGCGGCACAGACAACGGAUGCAAGAAGAAAGGGAGUGACAGCUUCAGACGCGAGAGGAAAGGACCCUGGAACCCAGGGCUGCGUCCUGCUCACCGCCAUGAAAUAUGGGCACGCAGGAAGCCAUCCUCAGUCCUAUCAGCCCCCUUGAGAGUCAACCCCAAAAACACUCUUGGAGAAAUAUUUCAGCAAGAAAAAGGAACCGGGGAGGAUGCUGCCAGGUCUAGGGAGGAGUUGUGCUUCCCCAGCGUGGAUGGUUCACUGCCAUCUAAGUAAGCAAUGACCUCCGCGUGUGCCGCACAGUCCAGCUUCCUCAGAGGCGGUGGUGGCCUGGUGGAGGAAUGUGGGCUGGCUGGGCGGCCACAGAGAAUUACUGUUUCCAUUAAAAGGAAAUGUCUUCUGGCCGGGAGCCCUGGCUCACACUGUAAUCCCAGCAUUUUGAGAGGCUCAGGCGGGUGGAUCGCUUGAGGUCAGGAGUCUGAGACCAGCCUGGCCAACCUGGUAAAACCCUGUCUCUGCUAAAAAUACAAAACUUAGCUGGGCGUGGUGGUGGGCACCUGUAAUCUCAGCACUUUGGAAGGCUGAGGCGGGCGGAUCACUUGAGGCUAGGAGUUCGAGACCAGACUGACCAACAUGGGGAAACCCCAUGUCUACUAAAAAUACAAAAAUUAGCCUGGCAUGGGGGCACAUGCCUGUAGUCCCAGCUACUCGGGAGGCUGAGGCAGGAGAAUCGCUUGAACCCGGGAGGUGGAUGUUGCAGUGAGCCAAGAUCACACCACUGCACUCCAGCCUGGGCAACAGAGCAAGACCCUGCCUAAAAAAAGAAAAAAAGUGUCACAUGGAGAUGUGUGUCCAUUUGGGACUGUUUUCCAGCCUUUCCACACUCUCCCCCUCCCCAUCUGUCCCUCCAUCUCCACCAAGCUGUGUUUUGAUGUUGUGUUUGCAUGAUUUGGUGUAUCUGGCAUUUUAACAUUUCAUCCUUGCCACUAUUUAUUAUUUUCUGUUUCUUCAUAGUAGCCACUAAAUUGAUUUCAGGUGAUAUCUCAUUGUGGUUUUGAUUUGCAUUUAUCUAAUAAUUAGUGAUAUUUAGUGUGUUUUCAUAUGCUCAUUGGCCAUCAGUACAUCAUCUUUGGGAAAAUGUCUGUUCAAGUCAUUUGCCUGUUUUUAAAUCAGGUAAUUUGUUGAUUUGUUGUUGAACCAUGGAGACAUAAUUUUAAACCACAACACCUAUCUUGCAGAUUGCGGUGAGAACUAAAAGAUUUAUGUAUGCAGAUCAUAUUACCUGUCACGUAGUAGGCACUCAAAAAUUAUUACUUGUCUUCCUAGGGUUGUUAUGUUAAAUAAUGUUAUGUUAAUAACAUAUGUAAAACUGCUUCUUAAAUUAUAAAGUGCUAUGCAAAUGUGA
Long non-coding RNA from Pan troglodytes (chimpanzee), 6029 nucleotides. RefSeq lists it as uncharacterized. The transcript has 3 exons. NCBI's taxonomy places the organism in Eukaryota, Metazoa, Chordata, Mammalia, Primates, Hominidae. The record is from RefSeq and is a predicted model, not a curated record.